AGAUCAAUCCUUCUAGAGAACUGAGAGAUAAGUGAUCUGUCCAUGGUCACAAACUUAAAGUGCUAAGCAAAAAGAAGAACAACUAAGCCAUCAUGCAAGGAGAACAGAUGGGCUGCUUAAUGACCCUUUCUGGACAUUGAAAGCCAUCCAUGGCCAAUUGUUACCCGUCCAGAAACCAAGGGAGCAGGUUAUUUUUUGGUCUCGCCUACUGGUCUUUAAUAGCCUCUGUACCACUCUCUCUGUGAUCCCUUUGCCUAGGAGAGCUAAGAAGAUGAAGGGAGUUUCUAUUUGCCAUUUCCAAGAAUCUCACUUGCAAUUUAAAUGAUUCCUGCACCCGGGUUUUAUGAAGAAGAAAACAGUCUUAAAAACCCUUAAGUGCUCAGCUUACUUUUCUGUUGUUUGGUGAAAGGGGGGUGUGAGUUUCUCUGCAAUUCUCUACAACUUCCUUUAUUCUAGCGAUGGGGAAUUACCCCGGGAUUAAAAGGAAAACCAUUGACUUCAGUGAGGACCGAGAGACCCUCGGCUCACAAUUUUGUCUGGGCUCCAUCUCAUAAUGGGCGCUGAGAUUUGGGGAAGGGGGAGGAGAUGAGAAAGGAGAGAUGGAGACUCUAAUGGGGGUCCAACUCCUCUGCCAGGCGCUUAUCCCAAAGCGCAGGAGUCCUCAGCUCUGUCCAGGGGAGAGGCUGCUCUAAUUUCCCCGAAGCCUUCAGAAUCCUGCCAGGGGCACGGUGCUGCCAGUACAAGUUACUGACCAGG
This 756-nucleotide long non-coding RNA is filed under the name Monodelphis domestica (gray short-tailed opossum). RNAcentral describes it as "lncRNA (ENSMODG00000050301.1)". Lineage: Eukaryota; Metazoa; Chordata; Mammalia; Didelphimorphia; Didelphidae. The record is from RNAcentral.